UGACUGCCAGAUGAGCCAAUAGUCAGC
Molecule: non-coding RNA, 27 nt
Filed under: Mus musculus (house mouse)
Lineage: Eukaryota; Metazoa; Chordata; Mammalia; Rodentia; Muridae
Source: RNAcentral